This 73-nucleotide transfer RNA is filed under the name Coxiella endosymbiont of Amblyomma americanum. RNAcentral describes it as "tRNA-Thr (GGT) (tRNA-Thr-GGT-1-1)". It matches the Rfam family "tRNA". From Rfam's summary of the family: Transfer RNA (tRNA) molecules are approximately 80 nucleotides in length. Their secondary structure includes four short double-helical elements and three loops (D, anti-codon, and T loops). Further hydrogen bonds mediate the characteristic L-shaped molecular structure. tRNAs have two regions of fundamental functional importance: the anti-codon, which is responsible for specific mRNA codon recognition, and the 3' end, to which the tRNAs corresponding amino acid is attached (by aminoacyl-tRNA synthetases). tRNAs cope with the degeneracy of the genetic code in two manners: having more than one tRNA (with a specific anti-codon) for a particular amino acid; and 'wobble' base-pairing, i.e. permitting non-standard base-pairing at the 3rd anti-codon position. Lineage: Bacteria; Pseudomonadati; Pseudomonadota; Gammaproteobacteria; Legionellales; Coxiellaceae. RNAcentral also lists the same sequence under 1 other name. The record is from Rfam by way of RNAcentral.
GCCCACAUAGCUUAGUUGGUAGAGCACUUCCUUGGUAAGGAAAAGGUCACCGGUUCAAAUCCGGUUGUGGGCU